UUUCCGUAGGUGAACCUGCGGAAGGAUCAUUACUGAGUGAGGGCCCCUCGGGGUCCAACCUCCCACCCGUGUUUAACGAACCUUGUGGCUUCGGCGGGCCCGCCUCACGGCCGCCGGGGGGCAUCUGCCCCCGGGCCCGCGCCCGCCGAAGCCACCUGUGAACGCUGUCUGAAGUAUGCAGUCUGAGACAAUUAUUAAAUUAAUUAAAACUUUCAACAACGGAUCUCUUGGUUCCG
RNAcentral lists this unclassified non-coding RNA (236 nucleotides) under plant metagenome. RNAcentral describes it as "partial contains small subunit ribosomal RNA, internal transcribed spacer 1, and 5.8S ribosomal RNA". The record is from RNAcentral.